UGGUUUUCUAUCCCUGCUACUGCUUUUGGCAUAUUAGCACUGAGCAAGUGUUAUUGGCUCGUUGUCAGUCGCUGACUACCGCUGCUAUCCGACGACAAUAUAAGCACGCAGUUAAAAUAUUUGGGCUCAUAAAUUUCAGCGUCGAGACACUUUGGCGUGUUGGUCUACAGACGGCAAUUUAUUUUUUGUUGUUGUUCCCAAUUAUUUUUAUAUUGUUAACGUCAACUUUAACAUCACACGCAUCAUCCUAAGAAUUAACCUAUCAUCGAUUUGAUUUUAUGGCAAUUUCCUUUAACUUUUUUAAAUUAUUAAAAUGCUUGGGCGCCUGAUUUUUAUAACUAUCCAUAUCAUGUUGUGUGUGUUUUGAUUGUGGUUAUAUUUCCUGUAGCCUAUUAUUAAUUUCCAUUAUGUUUUUACUAGUUUUUUUGGGAGAAUUUGUGUUCUGAAAUGAAUGAGGAUUUUGGCAAGUUUGCAGGACGACUUUAACGAGGAGACGGAAUUUCAAGAAGAUUUCAAACGUAUUCCAGAAAUCCGCGAGGAGCUAUCGCAGUCAUUUCGAACACAGGAAUCAAACAAAAAGACUAACUAACUGGAAGAUUCCAAUAGGAUCAAAAGGACAUACGCUGUCAUCUUUCAAUAUUCAAAGGAUUGUAUUUACUAUGCUCAUACAACGAACAUAAAUAUUGACCAUACAUUUAGGUGCCCUGCUUCGGAUCGUGGAGAGAGUAGCCCAAUAAAUAUAUCGUUUUUAUUUUUUAUUUUCUUCUGAUUUUGUUAUUAACCGGAUCUACCCUGGACGUGAACGCGCAAGAAUUGAGUUUGUAUGUGAUUUCUUAAGAAAUAUCUUCUCGCCUGGGUCGUAAGAAGCGCAUCGAUUCUGUUGCGGCACACUAUGGACGAGCAAGCCAGGAUGAUGCAGUCUCUCUCCGGCGUGAACCUGGCCGGCCUUUCGGCGCAUGGAGGCUUGGUUAUACCGCCUGCGCACAUGCACGACGGGACUGACGCGGACGGGAGAAAACAAGAUAUUGGGGAUAUUCUACAUCAGAUAAUGACUAUUACAGACCAAAGUCUGGAUGAGGCUCAAGCAAAGAAACAUGGACUGAACUGCCAUCGCAUGAAACCGGCCCUUUUCAGUGUUCUCUGUGAUAUCAAGGAGAAAACAGGCCUCAGCAUGCGCGGCGCCCAGGAGGAGGACCCGCCCGACCCCCAGCUGAUGCGACUGGACAACAUGCUGCUGGCCGAGGGCGUGUCCGGCCCGGAGAAAGGGGGCGGGGCUGCGGCGGUUGCCGCGGCAGCUGCCGCCGCCUCCGGAGGCGUGGCGGACAACACCGUGGAGCACUCGGAAUACCGCGCCAAACUCAGCCAGAUCCGCCGCAUCUACCACACCGAGCUGGAGAAGUACGAGCAGGCCUGUAACGAGUUCACCACGCACGUGAUGAACCUGCUGAGGGAGCAGAGCCGCACCCGGCCCAUCUCGCCCAAGGAGAUCGAGCGCAUGGUGGGCAUCAUCCACCGCAAGUUCAGCUCCAUCCAGAUGCAGCUCAAACAGAGCACCUGUGAGGCCGUCAUGAUCCUGCGCUCACGCUUCCUUGAUGCCAGGCGGAAAAGGCGAAACUUCAGCAAGCAGGCGACAGAGAUUCUGAACGAGUAUUUCUACUCCCACCUGUCGAACCCUUACCCCAGCGAGGAAGCCAAAGAGGAGCUGGCCAAGAAAUGCAGCAUCACCAUAUCCCAGGGGGCGAGAAGCACCUUCACUGUGUCACAGGUCUCAAACUGGUUUGGCAACAAGAGGAUCCGGUACAAGAAGAACAUCGGAAAGUUCCAGGAGGAAGCCAACCUCUACGCUGCCAAAACGGCGGUCACCGCGGCUCACGCGGUGGCUGCAGCGGUGCAGAACAGCCAGACCAGCUCCCCGGCCACGCCCAACUCCGGGUUCCACAUGAAGGAUGAGGACUUUCAGCUGGAUUCCUCAGACAGCAAAAGCACCCUCUUAUCCAGCAUGUUCACAGGUGCAUACCCCACAGCCUGCUUUCAGCCAGAUGGCAGGAUACAGUGACAACCUGCAGAGGGCGCUCUACUGUGCCACCAACACAGCCUGAAUUUAUCCAAUGUGAUCCUAUAAAUGGAGAGGCCUACAAGGGGUUUACCUAUAACAUAUACACUGGAGGGCUAGUGGGGGCCUGGCAAGGCACAGCCAAUCAGAUGCUGCGGAAGGAAGCGUGAGCACCAAUACCUCAGCACUUCUUCUUCCCUGUGGCAUCCUAUCCCCAAGCAGUAGGGCUCUAACUAGCACUAACUGACCAAUCAGGGAGGCCAAAUCUUUAGCAUCAUAUCCCCUCUGACUCUUGAACCUCAACCAUGUCCGGUAGAGCAUAUCCGCCACUCUUUGGACCCUGCUGUUUCUGGAACUUUCCGCGGAGGGACCUCAUUCAACCUCCCGUCGCCGUUUUCCCCGAACUCUGCAUAUUUUUUCAGAAAGUCAUUUUUUAUAUAUGUAUCUAAACAGAUAUAAAUGUGUACAUCUAUAUAUUGCUAUAUGAAACUGUCAGGACUGGCUCUGAAUUUCAUUUUGAAGGUGUCAUUUGUGUAGAUGAUUUGAUGAAAAUCUGUGACAAAGAAUAAUAUCCAUAGCAAAGACGCUGGCCCUGAAACACUUGUCCUUCCUUUGGGUUUACACUUUGUGGUGUCAGCCUUUUUUGAAAAAAAAAACAAAAAAACAAAACAAAACAAAAAUAAUAAUAAUCUAAAAUGAUGGUCCUGGAGAGCCUAAAGGCCUGCUGGUCUUUGUUGUUAUUUAGCACUCAACUAAUUAAUUCAUGCAGCUGAUUACAUAGUUUGACUCAGCUUACUUAUUUUCUUGGAUCUUAUUGUUUUCUGAAUUUAAGAUGAGAACAAAAUCCAGCAGACCCUGCUCAAUGGUACCUUGACUGGGAAUCCAUUCUUUAAAUCAUAUAUUAGAUGUGCACUGUAGUUUCUGCUAUUUUACACCUGGUUUGAUUGUUACAUAUGGCUAGUUCAGUUACGUAAGUGGUUUUACAAGUUGGUUUUACAAGUUAGGCGACUACAAUAUUACAUUUAAUGGCAACUUGGAUAAACAUUUCUAAACGUUUUAUAUAUGACUUGUAGUCACUGGUUUGCAAUAUGUCAGACACGAUUUUUGACCUUGAGACAUGCUUCUGGAGUCAACUUAUAUUUUACAUAAAAUUAUCUUUUUACUUUACGUUUCAGUUUGGUAUAUUGUUGUUAAAUGCCCUUAACCCAUUCUUUAAAAUAGUAGUUGCAGUGUUAAAAAGGAUUACAGUAAAAAGUACUGAUUGCACUUCAUCCUCUCGGUGACUAAAGAUACAGUUCUCACUUGAAUAUUGUAUACACUCACGUAGCACUUUAUUAGGUAGACCUGUACCCCAGCUUGGCAAUGCAAAUAUUUAAUCAGCCAAUCAUGUGGCAGCAACUAAAUGCAUAAAAGCAUGCAGACGUGGUCAAGUGUUUCAGCUGUUUUUCAGACCAAAUGUCAGAAUGGGGAAGAAAUGUGAUCUAAGGGAUUUUGACCAAGGAAUGACUGGUGCCUGACAGGAUGGUUUAAAUAUCUCAGAAAUGGAUGAUCUCCUGGAAUUAUCACUCACAAGCAGUCUUUGGAGUUUGCAGACAAUGGUGCGAAAAACAAAAAACAUCCAGUGAGCAGCAGUUCUGUCAAAAACGACUUGUUAAUGAGAGAGGUCAGUGUAGAAGGGCCAGACUGGUCAAAGGUGACAGGAAGGUGACAGUAACGCAAAUAACGCACAUAUUACAACAAUAGUAUGCAAAAGAGCAUCUCUGAACACACAACGCGUCAAACCUCUAAGUGGAUAGACUACAGCAGCUGAAGACCAAUACAUCUAAAAAAGAAAUCUAAUAAAUACCCAAUAAAGUGCUCAGUGAGUGUAUAAUGCAGUUUAAGAGUAAACAUGCCACCAAUCAAAACACUGCUUUAUUACCUCAUUCAGUCAUAUUAUGAGCCAAUAGAAUUUUAACAUGGUCUAUAGCCUAGAGUGCUCACUUUUUCUAGCUACCUCUAAACAAUAUCACUACUUGUGUAUCAAUUUUUUUUAACUUUUAUUUAGCUUUACUUUUUGGCAUCUUGUAAGCUUUUCUGUCUAUAGUGUAUAUUUUAAUCAUUUUUAAUAACAACAGUUGCAUUGUUGCAAUUUUAAAAACAAAGUUGAAAAGGGAGGACUGUAUUUACAGUAAGUACAGUGGAGGGAGAGGAGGAUAUUGGUCAUAAAACAGCAAACAGUAAAAACUGUUGUAAAUAUCAAUGAAUGUUUGCCGAAUUUGUUCUAAUCCUUAAAAAGAUGGUGAUAGUCAGUUUCAGUAUUUGGAACUGUAUAUUUCAGCCCCUGUCUGACAGGGGGAGAGAUUUCGUCUAUCUUUUUUUGUAUUGUAUGCCAUUCUUAAAUUUAUUAAGUCCUGAGAAGAUGAUUUGUGAAAGUGAUUCUAAUGUAUUAAAAACUGUCUUUAAGUUUGUUUCUAAGCAGACUACACCUUGGACUGAGAAGUCUUCCUUGUGGUACGUUAGCUAUGUGUAGUCUCUGACCUGAAUAAACCUUUUUGCUUUCA
Molecule: RNA transcript, 4596 nt
Organism: Conger conger (European conger)
Lineage: Eukaryota; Metazoa; Chordata; Actinopteri; Anguilliformes; Congridae
Gene name: pre-B-cell leukemia transcription factor 3-like
Exons: 11
Source: RefSeq, a predicted model, not a curated record